GACGAACGCUGGCGGCGUGCUUAACACAUGCAAGUCGAACGGUGAAGCGCCUUCCUUUUUGGUGGGUGUGGAUGAGUGGCGAACGGGUGAGUAACACGUGAGUAACCUGCCCCCUUCUUCUGGAUAACCGCAUGAAAGUGUGGCUAAUACGGGAUAUUCUGGGUCUGUCGCAUGAUGGGUCUGGGAAAGAUAUUGUUUCGGUGGGGGAUGGGCUCGCGGCCUAUCAGCUUGUUGGUGGGGUGAUGGCCUACCAAGGCGGUGACGGGUAGCCGGCCUGAGAGGGUGGACGGUCACACUGGGACUGAGACACGGCCCAGACUCCGACGGGAGGCAGCAGUGGGGAAUAUGGCACAAUGGGCGCAAGCCUGAUGCAGCGACGCCGCGUGAGGGAUGGAGGCCUUCGGGUUGUGAACCUCUUUCGCCAGUGAAGCAGGCCUGCCUCGUUUGUGGGUGGGUUGACGGUAGCUGGAUAAGAAGCGCCGGCUAACUACGU
This 493-nucleotide ribosomal RNA is filed under the name uncultured bacterium. Its description in RNAcentral is "partial 16S ribosomal RNA". It matches the Rfam family "Bacterial small subunit ribosomal RNA", at positions 28 to 506 of the family's 1533-position model. The record is from RNAcentral.